NUAUGUNUNGGGUCUCAUUCCACGAGAUCCGUGCCGCAGCUAACGCAUUAAGUUCCCCGCCUGGGGAGUACGGCCGCNAGNCUAAAACUCAAAGGAAUUGNCGGGGGCCCGCAUCAAGCGGCGGAGCAUGCGGAUUNAUUCGAUGCAACGCGAAGAACCUUACCCAAGGCUUGACAUAUGCGAGAACGCGGCAGAGAUGUCGUUCUCUUUGGACACUCGUAUACAGGUGGUGCAUGGUUGUCGUCAGCUCGUGUCGUGAGAUGUUGGGUUAAGUCCCGCAACGAGCGCAACCCUCGUUCUAUGUUGCCAGCACGUGAUGGUGGGGACUCAUAGGAGACUGCCGGGGUCAACUCGGAGGAAGGUGGGGAUGACGUCAAAUCAUCAUGCCCCUUAUGUCUUGGGCUUCACGCAUGCUACNAUGGCCGGUACAAAGGGCUGCGAAACCGCGAGGUGGAGCGAAUCCCAAAAAACCGGUCUCAGUUCGGAUUGGGGUCUGCAACUCGACCCCAUGAAGUCGGAGUCGAUAGUAAUCGCAGAUCAGCNACGCUGCGGUGAAUACGUUNCCNGGGCCUUGUACACACCGCCCGUCCAAGUCAAGAAAGUCG
RNAcentral lists this ribosomal RNA (605 nucleotides) under actinobacterium ZNA6. RNAcentral's name for it is "bacterial SSU rRNA". It matches the Rfam family "Bacterial small subunit ribosomal RNA", at positions 815 to 1413 of the family's 1533-position model. The record is from RNAcentral. Lineage: Bacteria; Bacillati; Actinomycetota; Actinomycetes.